Molecule: long non-coding RNA, 4166 nt
Filed under: Homo sapiens (human)
Lineage: Eukaryota; Metazoa; Chordata; Mammalia; Primates; Hominidae
Description: HSALNT0308511
Source: RNAcentral
GCGGCGGUGAGCGGCGGGCUAGAAGGCGGCUGCGGCUGCCCUGGCUCUGCUCUUGACCGCCGCCAGCCCCGGGAACUUUCCGACGCCGCCGGGAGACGGGGGACGGGCAGCCCGGGCUGGGACGCGGCCGGACCGCUGGAGCCGUGCGGGCUGGGGAAGAAGGUCUGCUGCGCCUCUGCCAACGUCCCGGGGCCUGGGACCCGGGGGCGUCGUGGGACCCCCGUGGGGACGGGUUUUCCUUUCCGAGACUCCGCGGAGAAACCUGGCGGCCGCCAGCGGAGCAUGCUUUUCCGGGGGGCGCUGGCCCCGAUACUGUGGCACCUUGCGGGGCUCUGCCCGGACCAUGGCUGACGUCGACGGCCCUCGGAGGCCUCCAAGCCACACAACCUGCCCGGACCCCUGGAAAUAUGCCCCAUCCUACCUCCCCGCCUUUCUCCAGACAACAUCCUGUGUCGCUUUCUUUCCUCAGCCUGUUUUCUACAGCAGGGAUUCGCACCCACUGCACCCUAAACCCAGCAGGGGGACUUCCGUGGCUGGAAACUACUGAAUUGUUCUUUCAGAGGUCUCUCAGGACGGCACCACUAGGUCCCCAUUCUCCUUGAUAGUGAACUCUGCAGCCCUCUCCUUGGGGUUUCAAGUCUUUUUUUUUUUUUUUUUUUUUUUAAUGAGACGGAGUCUAGCCCUUGUCGCCCAGGCUGGAGUGCAGUGGCACGAUCUCGGCUCACUGCAACCUCCGCCUCCCGGUUUCGAGCGAUUCUCCUGCCUCAGCCUCCCUAGUAGCUGGGAUUACAGGCACCUGCCACCACACCUGGCUAAUUUUUGUGUUGUUAGUAGAGACGGGGUUUCACCAUGUUGGCCAGGCUGGUAUGGAACUCCUGACCUCAGGUAAUCCACCCGCCUCGGCCUCCUAAAGUGGUGGGGUUACACGUAUGAGCCACCGCGCCCGGCCUCAAGUCUUAAUCAUUCUUUUUCUGUCCUUUAAAGGAGACGUGUCUUUAGGAAGCAGAGAGGGUUCGAUUCUGGACUCCGCCCAUGACUCACUUCUCUUGUAAAGAAAGAGUUGUCCUUCCUGGUACUCCAGGUUUAUGGGAUGCAGGAUAAUGGAGCAUGCUCUAUCUGGGACAUUGCUAGUCUUAUGACAGAGGGAGAAGACAGCGAUGAGUUUUCGAAGAACUCCAGGAAGUGGCUGCAGAGCAAAGUAGGAUCCUGAUACUGAGCUCAAGUGAUUCAGAAUGAAAAGACCUUGGCACAGACCUGUUAAGGAAGCUCCAUAUAAGGUGAAGAAAACAACAUGCUCAGCCAUGUCCUUGCCUUCUGCACACGGUAGUGCAUUCACUGCCUGAGAAUUCAAGGCUAAAACAAAAAGAGGAGCUUUUGUUCCAACAGAUAAGUACUUACCUUUUUCAAAAAAUGCAUAAGCUGUCCUGGGUGUUUAGCAGUUAUUCGCACAGCUUUCCAAAGACUCACAGCAUUUAAAAGCUAACUCUACAGAGAUUCAACAGCUUCUUCCAGAUCCCACCACAGUGGAAAAGAACUCCGGUGUCCUGGCUCCCUGUCCAGCUCUUCUCUCUCCCCUUCCAGCUGCCAGUUCAGCUUUAAGAAGUUCAUUCUCCACAUUCAGAUGCAGGCAAAUGCGUUUGACUUGAGCAUAUUGAUUUCAGGCAGGUGAGAGUGGAUGUAGCGAUUCAGCUUGACAAAUAUUUAGAUCAGUUAAGUGUCCUUUAUAAAGAAGCACUUGAACUCAGUGUUUCCUUUACCCGACCAUUUCACUCCACAAGCUACCUCCCCAGCAUAAAAUAUUCAAAUUAUUUCUAAAUUUCAUCUACUGAAAAAAUACUUCUAGGCCCUAUAGCUACAUGAUAUCUCCACUGGGAGCCCUGUCCUUUCCAUGCCCUGGGAAAACCCGAUCUAAAGCAGAUUUAAAUGACUCAGCAGUAGGACUCAGGUCUCUGUCUCUGCCUGCUUACUUGGGGAGUGCUCCAGCCUUAGGGGCUCUCUUGCACUCCAACAUAGGAAAGAAAUUAUCGAUGGCUCCAUUCCCCAGCAUUUGAGACUUUUCUUCCCACAGACACAUUCCUGAGGACACCAGUCAUGGGUAAAGAACUCCACUGGGGUCAGCGUUGGAUCCCACUAGGCAGUUUAGGACUUGUAAGUAGAGUAGUGUGGACUUGGUGUUCCCAGAGCCUCUCACUCAUGAUUCAUGGCUCUCCACCCCAAGCAUCGGAACUUGCCCAACUUCACCACAGAAGGAAACAGACUGUAAGCUUGGAGGGCCAGGGAGGAAACCGGAGGCAUGUGUGGGAGGAUUAGAAACAUGAAAAGAUAUUUACAGUAAGGUUCGCUUGUCAUCCUCUUGAACUGGGGGUGCAUAGAGUACAAUAAGACCCCAUGUGAGUAUGUUAGAUGAUAAGGCUCAGGUUGGAUGGGUGUGUAGAGUAAAGGCUUUGCAUCACCUUUGCCAGGGUGAGGGAAGGCUAUGGAUAGCACAGGGGACCUUGAUGAUCGGGUGAGGGAGCCCAUGUGGACAUAGUGGUCACCAGCUACUUCCUAGUUCUCUACAUGGGAGAAAGAGCCCUUCUCUGUAAUCAUGGAAGCUCAAGUUCUUGGUGGUUCAGAGGUUAGAGACCUCUGAUUACUAGGACAGAGCAGAAUAGCAGGGCUGGUCCUGGUAGAUCAGACAUCUCAUGACAUCCUUUAAAAGGGACUAGAAUAUUCAGAACUCCGGUGUAACUAAAUGAUCCUCAAGCUUUACCAGCAGGUGAGCAAGGUCCCAUUGUAUUUGGUACUCACAUCCCCACCAAUUCUGUAAAAGUUUGCCAACUUUCCCCUCCAUCCCCUGCACCCUUUCACCAAAAGAUAUGCCUAAGAGUUCCCAAGAGACGUCUAACAUAGGCCUGCAUGUCAGCCCAGUCUUCUGGGCUGAGCUGCUGCACUGUUGCUGGCCUUGAUGGCUGAACCUGAUCUCUGUUGUGGCACCCACCACUCUUUCUCAAGCCUUGACACCUUGGCAGGCUUUGGCAAAAAGAGGAGAGCUGUUCUUCCUCGGCAUUAUGUUCACUUAGCAGGGUCCCACAGCAGGAUUGCUUGGACCCCAGAGUAUUGUAGGGCUUAAUAAGACCAGCCCUUUCAUCUCACACGCUCUAUCCUUUCUCUCACUGGUGCACCCACGUCAGGUGUCUUGAGUGGGGAGUGCUCGAAUAUCUGCCACCAGCUUGAGUCAGAACCUCGACUUCCCUCAGCUUUUCAGGGUCUGUUACUGAGUCUGGUCCACACUCCAGGGUCUUUUCCUCACGGUCUGGGUCUGGUCUUUUUCAGGUGCCUACCUUUCCUCCCUGCAAACUGCCUUGAGUUGCCUCCCCUUCUCCCUUCCUUCCUGGUCUGUCAGAGACAUCUUGUCUGGGUGCAUAUUUGAACCCCAUCAGUAGACAGAAAACAUGUAUUUCCUUGAAGGCCCCUCAGACCCCAGGUACAAACAUUGAAGUAAAUAACAGCAGGGAUGGGGGUUCUGCCUCGCUUCACCUGCCAGCCACGUGCAGACCUUGUUUCAGUCCAACUGAGACUUUAGCAAGUGCUUCAUUCUGGUUUGUGAAUGGCUUCCCAGUGUCUGUCACUGUGUUCACAGGGCCACCGGGGUUGGCUGAGUCAGAAUACCAGCCAUGUGGCAUGUCGCAUGGGGCAAGAGCUGUGCUGCCCAUGGGAGUCCAGAGAAGGAGCACACUAAGGACCAACACCAGCUCUGCAGAUGAGCAAUAUCAUCACAACUAACCAAUUGAUCAAUUAUUCAUUCAGUCAUUUAAUGAGAAGCUACUGUGUACCCAUCCUUUCCUUGGCCUUCUGGACAGUUAGACAUGGUGCCUGUCUUCAGAUUGCUCACACACCAGUUGGAGACACAAAAGUUACAUGCAACUCCUCUCCAUUGGAUCUCUAGCACCUAGAAUAGAGCUGGGUACACAUGAUGAGGUGCUUAAUACGUAUUUGUCAAAUUGAAUGUCAAGUUUUAGGAGUUUAAAGAGUGUUUUCAAAUGGGGAGAAGCCGAGACACAAAUAGUCUCAGGAAUGAGAUGAAAUUAUUUAACCAAUUGGAGAUGAAAUUCGAAAUGGAAACUAUGACAUGACUCAACAUCCUCAAGCCCUGAAGUAAUAAUUAGCACAUAAAGUUGGUCUGU